RNAcentral lists this ribosomal RNA (439 nucleotides) under uncultured bacterium. Its description in RNAcentral is "partial 16S ribosomal RNA". It matches the Rfam family "Bacterial small subunit ribosomal RNA", at positions 339 to 795 of the family's 1533-position model. The record is from RNAcentral.
CUACGGGGGGCUGCAGUGAGGAAUAUUGCACAAUGGGGGGAACCCUGAUGCAGCAACGCCGCGUGGAGGAUGACGCAUUUCGGUGUGUAAACUCCUUUUAUGUGUCAAGAAAAUGACGGUAGCAUAUGAAUAAGCGCCGGCUAACUCCGUGCCAGCAGCCGCGGUAAUACGGAGGGCGCAAGCGUUACUCGGAAUCACUGGGCGUAAAGGACGCGUAGGCGGGUUGAAAAGUCAGGUGUGAAAGCCUACAGCUUAACUGUAGAACUGCACUUGAAACUCUCAAUCUAGAGUAUGGGAGGGGCAGAUGGAAUUAGUGGUGUAGGGGUAAAAUCCGUAGAUAUCACUAGGAAUACCUAAAGCGAAGGCGAUCUGCUGGAACAUUACUGACGCUAAGGCGUGAAAGCGUGGGGAGCAAACAGGAUUAGAUACCCUUGUAGUC